UAUUUUUUUCGGGUACUUGUACUUUUUUGAGUAUAUUUUUAAAGCUGUACUUUUACUUGUACCUAAGUACAAAUUAAGCUAAAUCUACUUCGUUAUUUUUAAAUCAUAGUUCGUUACUGAGUACACCUACAAUUUGAAUUGAUAUUCAAACUUUUGAAGGCACUUCAGCAGCCAAUAAAAAUAUCCGAUCGUAAAGGGACCAAUAACAGCGCUGAUAUCUGAACCAGCGCCGCUGCAGCAGGUGAAGAGCUGAUCAGACAGUGAGGGAGCUCAGCGUGAUUUAUGGACUCAAAGCUUGAAGAAACAAACUACAUGUAUCUACCGAAUAUUCACCGAUAAAAUCUGCGUCUCUCCUCUCCGACAGAGAGUUUGACAAUCAUCCGUCUACCGUCAAUUACAGAGUCUGAAAGUCUGCGUGGGAUUGCAGUGACCUCCUCAUCAGGGGAUUUGGGUUCAGUGUCACCAACCUGACUGGUCACCUGGGCCUGCACAACAGCUACUGGAGGAUCAGAGUCAUCAGCCCUAAGGUCAGCUGCAUAGCACACAGUCGUGUCAAUUUCACUAUCCUCUUCGGGCUCCUCUGGGGGGACUUCAGGCAUGUCAUUGUGAUGUGCAAUCAACUGGUCACCUCUGUUGCACUGGGCCAACAAGUACUCCACUGCAAUGCGCUUCCCUGCAAUAAUUUUUACCACAUUGUUAAUGGGGAGAGGACACACAUACACACAC
Long non-coding RNA from Cyprinus carpio carpio, 726 nucleotides. Lineage: Eukaryota; Metazoa; Chordata; Actinopteri; Cypriniformes; Cyprinidae. The record is from Ensembl.